Molecule: ribosomal RNA, 479 nt
Filed under: uncultured bacterium
Lineage: Bacteria
Description: bacterial SSU rRNA
Rfam family: Bacterial small subunit ribosomal RNA
Source: RNAcentral
AUUGAACGCUGGCGGAAUGCUUUACACAUGCAAGUCGAGCGGCAGCGCGGGGCAACCUGGCGGCGAGCGGCGAACGGGUGAGUAAUACAUCGGAACGUGCCCAGACGUGGGGGAUAACUACUCGAAAGAGUGGCUAAUACCGCAUACGAUCUACGGAUGAAAGCGGGGGAUCGCAAGACCUCGCGCGUCUGGAGCGGCUGAUGGCAGAUUAGGUAGUUGGUGGGAUAAAAGCCUACCAAGCCAACGAUCUGUAGCUGGUCUGAGAGGAUGAUCAGCCACACUGGGACUGAGACACGGCCCAGACUCCUACGGGAGGCAGCAGUGGGGAAUUUUGGACAAUGGGCGAAAGCCUGAUCCAGCCAUUCCCGUGCAGGAUGAAGGCCCUCGGGUUGUAAACUGCUUUUGUACAGAACGAAAAAGACUGUUAAUACCUGAGGUCCAUACGGUACUGUAAGUAAAAAGACACCGACUAACUACGU